AAGCUGUGGGAGGGACACAGGGGGAGGUAAUUGAUUCAUGGGGGCUGGUCUUUCCUGUGCUAUUCUCUUGAUAGUGAAAGGUCUAACGAGAUCUGAUGGGUUUACCAGGUGUUUCCGUUUUUGCUUCUUCCUCAUUUUUCUCUUGCCACCGCCAUGUUAGAAGUGCCUUUCGCCUCCUGCCAUGAUUCUGAGGCCUCCCCUGCCAUGUGGAACUGUAAGUCCAAUUAAACCUCUUUUUCUUCCCAGUCUCAGGUAUGUCUUUAUCAGCAGUGUGAAAACAUACUAAUAUAGCAGGAAAGCCAGCCCAGGUGGAGAUCCAGCCCAAACCUGAAGGCCAGAGACCCAGGGGAGCCAAUGGCGACAAUCUCCAUCUGAGCCAGAAGGCCUAACAAUAGGGAGUACCAGUGUCUGAGGACAGGAGGAGAUGGAUGUCCUGGCUCCAGCGGAGAGGAUCUUGACACACAGGAUUAUGAGUAGACAUGAAAAUAUUGACCCAGCUGUAGACAGCAACUGUCAGCAGCUGAGAAAUAACCUGGCAGAAGAAGUUUCAUCAGAGAUGCCAUUCCAAGAAAACCAUGGAAGCAGAAAAGAGGAAAGCAGAAACACAGAUGAAGCAAGAGGCUAUGUCCUCUGUGCAUGGAGACAGCAGAUCUAUUAGUAGACAGGAUGAAGAGAAAAGGUGUGAAGAAAAGCCACAUGGCUGAUGUGACAAGGAAGAAAGUGGGUCUCUCAGCUCUUCCCUUCUUGUUUUUGCCCUUUUCCCAGUACCAAGAAAUGUAUUUUUGGGGGCCACAUUCUUCCCACCAUAAUUUAGAAGGAUGCUGUUGCCAGGUUUGAAGACCACUUGAAACAAUAAUUGUUGUUAUUCUGCUAUACUCACCAAGAAUGACAAAACUAUUUACAUACUGGGGAUAGCGUGCUAGAAAAAUUGCUAAACAAAUAGUAUUUUUUCCUUCCAUAAAAUCAGAGUUGUAAAGAGCAAUAUAUUAGGCAUUUUCUUUGCCAGAGAACUUUAGCUAUGAUUUUCUGCUUCUUUAAAAUUCAUAUUAAUGAUCGUAGAUACCAGGUAUCUAAGGGAAAGACUCUUUGCAACAUCUUCUAUAUAUACCCUGGGUGUUUCUGUAUUGAAUUUACUUAAGAUUUAGGCUCUACAGUUUGAUCUCAAUCAUGUAAAAAUAUAUAGCAAGAAGGCUCCUGGGACAAAAACUGAAAUGUUUAUUAUUAAUUUUCUCUGGGCAUUGAAAUUCUGGAUGAUUUUAUUUUUUCAUACUUCUUUCUAUUUUCCAUAUAUUUUACAAUCUGUAUUCAUAGCUUCAAAAAUAAAAUAGUUGCUGUGAAUAAUCACUCUAUGUAAG
Molecule: long non-coding RNA, 1355 nt
Filed under: Homo sapiens (human)
Lineage: Eukaryota; Metazoa; Chordata; Mammalia; Primates; Hominidae
Description: HSALNT0193740
Source: RNAcentral